This 72-nucleotide non-coding RNA is filed under the name unclassified sequences. The record is from Rfam.
CCUUUGGAGUGCUAUACAAACGCUAGUAGCUUGUCUUUCAAGGCAGCGAGAGCGAGUACGAUGAACAAGGAU